GAUGAACGCUGGCGGCGUGCCUAAUACAUGCAAGUCGAGCGAACGGACGAGAAGCUUGCUUCUCUGAUGUUAGCGGCGGACGGGUGAGUAACACGUGGAUAACCUACCUAUAAGACUGGGAUAACUUCGGGAAACCGUAGCUAAUACCGGAUAAUAUUUUGAACCGCAUGGUUCAAAAGUGAAAGACGGUCUUGCUGUCACUUAUAGAUGGAUCCGCGCUGCAUUAGCUAGUUGGUAAGGUAACGGCUUACAAAGGCAACGAUGCAUAGCCGACCUGAGAGGGUGAUCGGCCACACUGGAACUGAGACACGGUCCAGACUCCUACGGGAGGCAGCAGUAGGGAAUCUUCCGCAAUGGGCGAAAGCCUGACGGAGCAACGCCGCGUGAGUGAUGAAGGUCUUCGGAUCGUAAAACUCUGUUAUUAGGGAAGAACAUAUGUGUAAGUAACUGUGCACAUCUUGACGGUACCUAAUCAGAAAGCCACGGCUAACUACGUG
RNAcentral lists this ribosomal RNA (497 nucleotides) under uncultured bacterium. Its description in RNAcentral is "partial 16S ribosomal RNA". It matches the Rfam family "Bacterial small subunit ribosomal RNA", at positions 28 to 507 of the family's 1533-position model. The record is from RNAcentral.